AGAGUUUGAUCAUGGCUCAGAAUCAACGCUGGCGGCGCGCUUAACACAUGCAAGUCGCACGAGAAAGUGGAGCAAUCCAUGAGUACAGUGGCGUACGGGUGAGUAACACGUGGAUCAUCUACCUCUUAGUGGGGAAUAACCCUGGGAAACCGGGGCUAAUACCGCAUAAGCUCGAGAGAGGAAAGCAGCAAUGCGCUGAGAGAGGAGUCCGCGGCCGAUUAGCUAGUUGGCAGGGUAAAAGCCUACCAAGGCAAAGAUCGGUAGCCGGCCUGAGAGGGCACACGGCCACACUGGCACUGAAACACGGGCCAGACUCCUACGGGAGGCAGCAGUGGGGAAUCUUGCACAAUGGGGGAAACCCUGAUGCAGCGACGCCGCGUGAGCGAUGAAGCCCUUCGGGGUGUAAAGCUCUUUCGGCAGGGACGAUCAUGACGGUACCUGCAGAAGCAGCUGCGGCUAACUACGUGCCAGCAGCCGCGGUAAUACGUAGGCAGCGAGCGUUGUUCGGAGUUACUGGGCGUAAAGGGUGUGUAGGCGGUUGCUUAAGUUUGGUGUGAAAUCUCCCGGCUCAACUGGG
Molecule: ribosomal RNA, 577 nt
Filed under: uncultured soil bacterium
Lineage: Bacteria
Description: bacterial SSU rRNA
Rfam family: Bacterial small subunit ribosomal RNA
Source: RNAcentral